Unclassified non-coding RNA from Lonchura striata (white-rumped munia), 77 nucleotides. The record is from Ensembl. Lineage: Eukaryota; Metazoa; Chordata; Aves; Passeriformes; Estrildidae.
UUAGGCCAUUGCCUAUGGGUGAUGAGCUCCAAGAAGAGUGAAACCAGUUAGGUCCUCUGGUGCUGCCCUAAUGAGCA